Molecule: ribosomal RNA, 561 nt
Filed under: Hordeum marinum (seaside barley)
Lineage: Eukaryota; Viridiplantae; Streptophyta; Magnoliopsida; Poales; Poaceae
Source: RNAcentral
GGAUCCGAUGCUUUAGUGCUGGUAUGAUCGGCACCUCGUGUUGCAUUCCUUUUUUCAUUAUUAUUUUUGCUGCAGGUGAGAAACAUGAUGCAUGCGGGCGGUAAGUAUUGAAAAAGUUUUUAAUCCGAGUUCGUAUGCAAAAGUAGAUGAUGCACGUGAGAAUUCGGAUGUAACUUUUCGAGUAGAUGAUUUUUCAUAUAAAAAAGUGUUUAAUCCGAGUUCGUAUGCAAAAGUUAAGCCCAUUUUACUAAAUUCCAGAGAGAAUUUGCAAAUAAAGUCAAAAUUCAUAUUUGUAAAUUUUCGAAACAACCAGACCACAUAUCACAUGGGAAACUUAAUUUCUCUUAUUUUUUUGACAUUUCCAUCAUUUUCUUUUGUUUUUCUUAAAACAGAAAAGGCGGUCCACGGGGGGGGGAUGCGUUGUGUAGUAGUGCAGGUUACUGAUGGCGCAUCACCUACAAAUGCGCCAUUACUAGUUUGUAGUGGAGCUGGGAGGGGCGAGUAUAAGGGACGAAGGGAUUAGAAACAUGUCGGAUGCGAUCAUACCAGCACUAAAGCACC